AUGCUUGCAUUGGUAGCACAUAUACUAAAAAAUUGGAACUAUAUGGAGUAGAUUAGCAUGGUCCCUGAGCAAGAAGGACACAUAAAUCCAUGAAGCAUACCUUAUUUUU
This is a small nuclear RNA of Phyllostomus discolor (pale spear-nosed bat), 109 nucleotides long. The record is from RefSeq and is a predicted model, not a curated record. NCBI's taxonomy places the organism in Eukaryota, Metazoa, Chordata, Mammalia, Chiroptera, Phyllostomidae.